GCUACCUGCAGUCGGACGGUAGCACAGAGAGCUUGCUCUUGGGUGACGAGUGGCGGACGGGUGAGUAAUGUCUGGGGAUCUGCCCGAUAGAGGGGGAUAACCACUGGAAACGGUGGCUAAUACCGCAUAACGUCGCAAGACCAAAGAGGGGGACCUUCGGGCCUAUCACUAUCGGAUGAACCCAGAUGGGAUUAGCUAGUAGGCGGGGUAAUGGCCCACCUAGGCGACGAUCCCUAGCUGGUCUGAGAGGAUGACCAGCCACACUGGAACUGAGACACGGUCCAGACUCCUACGGGAGGCAGCAGUGGGGAAUAUUGCACAAUGGGCGCAAGCCUGAUGCAGCCAUGCCGCGUGUAUGAAGAAGGCCUUCGGGUUGUAAAGUACUUUCAGCGGGGAGGAAGGCGGUGA
RNAcentral lists this ribosomal RNA (408 nucleotides) under uncultured bacterium. RNAcentral's name for it is "bacterial SSU rRNA". It matches the Rfam family "Bacterial small subunit ribosomal RNA", at positions 50 to 457 of the family's 1533-position model. The record is from RNAcentral.